GACGAACGCUGGCGGCGUGCCUAAUACAUGCAAGUUGAGCGAUGAAGAUUGGUGCUUGCACCAAUUUGAAGAGCAGCGAACGGGUGAGUAACGCGUGGGGAAUCUGCCUUUGAGCGGGGGACAACAUUUGGAAACGAAUGCUAAUACCGCAUAACAACUUUAAACAUAAGUUUUAAGUUUGAAAGAUGCAAUUGCAUCGCUCAAAGAUGAUCCCGCGUUGUAUUAGCUAGUUGGUGAGGUAAAGGCUCACCAAGGCGAUGAUACAUAGCCGACCUGAGAGGGUGGUCGGCCACAUUGGGACUGAGACACGGCCCAAACUCCUACGGGAGGCAGCAGUAGGGAAUCGUCGGCAAUGGACGAAAGUCUGACCGAGCAACGCCGCGUGAGUGAAGAAGGUUGUCGGAUCGGAAAACUCUGUUGGUAGAGAAGAACGUUGGUGAGAGUGGAAAGCUCAUCAAGUGACGGUAACUACCCAGAAAGGGACGGCUAACUACGUG
RNAcentral lists this ribosomal RNA (497 nucleotides) under uncultured bacterium. RNAcentral's name for it is "partial 16S ribosomal RNA". It matches the Rfam family "Bacterial small subunit ribosomal RNA", at positions 28 to 507 of the family's 1533-position model. The record is from RNAcentral.